CCUGGCCAUGCGAGACUAACCACGUUGUCCCUUCUUGUCAUGGUCCUUAGCCCUGCAGACAGGGACCUGUGAUUGUUGUGACUCCAGCAGGCAUUUGCAAAGCCUGCCAUGUUAUUCUUGAGUAUGAAAUCCUCACGACACAUCCCAGACGAUCUGUUAAGUGAAUUCUGCUUGCUGUAUAUAAUUAUAGACAAAGAGAGCCGCUAAUGGGCCGGUGUCACCCCGCGGAGGUCUGCGGGUGGCCAGGGACUGACAUCAGUCCUGGAUCCUCUGAUACUCUUAUCAAUGAUUUACGGGGAAAUAAAGGGCCUGCCUGUCAAGUUGCUCCUGAAACAAAGGGAAGAGGAUGCAACUCAGAAUCCUAAUUCAGUCCUCUGUGCGCGCGGAUGGCUCGACACUAAAACUCCAGGAAGUGGAACGACACAGCACCACAGUCCACAAGGGCAGUAAGUCGAGCCCUGGCCUGCGCGCCCAUCACAACUUCUCAGCGGAUCUCCCGUCAGCAGAGUGGAAGCCGAGCUGGGAGGUGGCGUCUGUGAGACUCCUAUCUAACAAAGACUCACAUCCGCAGUAAAGAAAGAGAGUACAUUAAUUUUUCAAAAAGCAGGAGGGGAAGCAAGUGAAUAGAAAAAUAGGCAAAUAUUUGCAUUCGCACUUUGUGAACCGGGCUCUCCGGACGCCUGUAGACGCAGGGAAGAUGCAGAGCCAAACGCCUCAGCCGGCGGGAAGGGUGAGCUGUGUCCCUGGUGUGAGCCUGGACUCUGCCAGGAGCAGGCAGCGGCUGAACAAAAGAUUUUCACAUGUGAAAGUCAAAACCAGCAGAAACGAGUGUACAGUGCAGGGAGUAAGAACAGAGGCAGCCCCAAGAUGGAGACCCUGCUGGGGGCUCUGGCGCUGUUCUUUCUUGGUCUAAUUCUGGCUACAGGUACAGGCUCAUCAGAUAAGACCCAGCCUCAUCACCGCAACCUCAGAAAUCCAUCCCAGCAACACUGAAGGGCCCAGCCAGGAAUCCAGCAGGGUGCGGACCUUGGCAGGAGGUGAACAAGCUCAGGAUUAAAGCGACUUUGGACCAGCAUGGACAAGCCUCCCAGGUGGGUCCUUGCAACAGCCAAGUUGGUUCCUGUCAGACUGUUCUCCCCAAGAUGACGACAGUCCACACUGGACCGUACACCCUACGACGGCUUUCUGAAGGCACUGGAGAUGGCCCAGCCCCUGGAGCUGAGCGCCACCUGCCCAGCACCGUGCAUGUGGGUCCCAGAUGCUAUCUGGAGUCCAACAGAAAGUACAUGGUCUUCCUGGGCAGGUGACAAGGCAGACAUAAACUCAGCCACAGAGAGGUGGGGGUGGGGCGCGUCAAAGGAAGAAAGGAAACAGACCGGAAGGAGCAGAUCCAGAAGUCUAAGCGGGAACUCUCCCCUCGCUGCCCCAGCCACAGUUCAGAGAGUCAGUGGAGAUUCGGGCUGUGAGGACAGAGGCUCCGUGGCCUGAACCCCAGGCUGAUUGUGAGGGUCUUCAGUCCAGAGGGUAGAACCCAGAUGAGUGGAGACUGAGGAGACAAGAAAUUAAAGUGGCUACUGAUAAUAUAUAUGACGUUAUAAAAGCAGUAGAAAAGUAGAAAUCAUAAAAAAAAAAAAACUGAGAGAAACACUAGACGGAAGACACCCAACCGAAAUUAAAAGUGGGAUGGAUGAGUGUCACGGUUUUUGUCUGUGGCCCCCAGGCCUCAUGAGUUUGCACCGUGCAUUUGUAAUGGUUCAUUGUCUAGUGCUUGGAUUGAUGGUGUCAGUGCUCCACCCACAAAGGGGUGGAGCCAGGGUGUGAUGUAAUGGCAGGAAGAAGGUGUGACUUGCUCUUUGCUGGUUCCUGCUUGCUGUUUGCAGCCACCAGGAACUGCACCCCAGCCAUGCCUGCUUGCCUUGGAGCCAACUGAGAGUAUGGACUGAAACCUCCAAAACCUAUAAGAAAUAAACCUUUCCUUUCCCAA
This is a long non-coding RNA of Cavia porcellus (domestic guinea pig), 1984 nucleotides long. RefSeq lists it as uncharacterized. The record is from RefSeq and is a predicted model, not a curated record. The transcript has 3 exons. NCBI's taxonomy places the organism in Eukaryota, Metazoa, Chordata, Mammalia, Rodentia, Caviidae.